This 379-nucleotide ribosomal RNA is filed under the name uncultured soil bacterium. RNAcentral describes it as "bacterial SSU rRNA". It matches the Rfam family "Bacterial small subunit ribosomal RNA", at positions 26 to 410 of the family's 1533-position model. The record is from RNAcentral.
AGAUUGAACGCUGGCGGCAUGCUUUACACAUGCAAGUCGAACGGCAGCACGGGGGCAACCCUGGUGGCGAGUGGCGAACGGGUGAGUAAUGCAUCGGAACGUAUCCUUAAGUGGGGGAUAACGCAUCGAAAGAUGCGCUAAUACCGCAUAAUCUCUGAGGAGAAAAGCAGGGGAUCGCAAGACCUUGCGCUUUUGGAGCGGCCGAUGUCUGAUUAGCUAGUGGUGAGGUAAGGCUUACCAAGGCUUCGAUCAGUAGCUGGUCUGAGAGGACGACAGCCACACUGGGACUGAGACACGGCCCAGACUCCUACGGGAGCAGCGAGUGGGAAUUUGGACAAGUGGGGGAAACCCUGAUCCAGCCACGCCGCGUCGAGUGAAG